AGCGAACGCUGGCGGCAGGCUUAACACAUGCAAGUCGAGCGCCGUAGCAAUGCGGAGCGGCAGAUGGGUGAGUAACACGUGGGAACGUACCUUUUGGUUCGGAACAACACAGGGAAACUUGUGCUAAUACCGGAUAAGCCCUUACGGGGAAAGAUUUAUCGCCGAAAGAUCGGCCCGCGUCUGAUUAGCUAGUUGGUGAGGUAACGGCUCACCAAGGCGACGAUCAGUAGCUGGUCUGAGAGGAUGAUCAGCCACACUGGGACUGAGACACGGCCCAGACUCCUACGGGAGGCAGCAGUGGGGAAUAUUGGACAAUGGGCGCAGGCCUGAUCCAGCCAUGCCGCGUGAGUGAUGAAGGCCCUAGGGUUGUAAAGCUCUUUUGUGCGGGAAGAUAAUGACUGUACCGCAAGAAUAAGCCCCGGCUAACUUCGUGCCAGCCGCCGCGGUAA
RNAcentral lists this ribosomal RNA (449 nucleotides) under uncultured bacterium. RNAcentral describes it as "partial 16S ribosomal RNA". It matches the Rfam family "Bacterial small subunit ribosomal RNA", at positions 29 to 523 of the family's 1533-position model. The record is from RNAcentral.